GACGAACGCUGGCGGCGUGCUUAACACAUGCAAGUCGAACGGAAAGGCCCUGCUUUUGUGGGGUGCUCGAGUGGCGAACGGGUGAGUAACACGUGAGUAACCUGCCCUUGACUUUGGGAUAACUUCAGGAAACUGGGGCUAAUACCGGAUAGGAGCUCCUGCUGCAUGGUGGGGGUUGGAAAGUUUCGGCGGUUGGGGAUGGACUCGCGGCUUAUCAGCUUGUUGGUGGGGGAGUGGCUUACCAAGGCAUUGACGGGUAGCCGGCCUGAGAGGGUGACCGGCCACAUUGGGACUGAGAUACGGCCCAGACUCCUACGGGAGGCAGCAGUGGGGAAUAUUGCACAAUGGGCGGAAGCCUGAUGCAGCAACGCCGCGUGCGGGAUGACGGCCUUCGGGUUGUAAACCGCUUUCGCCUGUGACGAAGCGUGAGUGACGGUAAUGGGUAAAGAAGCACCGGCUAACUACGUG
RNAcentral lists this ribosomal RNA (468 nucleotides) under uncultured bacterium. RNAcentral's name for it is "partial 16S ribosomal RNA". It matches the Rfam family "Bacterial small subunit ribosomal RNA", at positions 28 to 507 of the family's 1533-position model. The record is from RNAcentral.